This is a non-coding RNA of Doryrhamphus excisus (bluestripe pipefish), 1338 nucleotides long. The record is from RefSeq and is a predicted model, not a curated record. Lineage: Eukaryota; Metazoa; Chordata; Actinopteri; Syngnathiformes; Syngnathidae.
AGUGAACCUGGCCACCUAGUGGGCAUUCUGCGCAUGCGUCAGGGGGUGGUUUGCCCUCAGACUUGCCAAGGCAAAGUUUGAGGCGCCAUGUUUUCACGGGAAGACGGUGGAAGACGACAUGGACGGUCGUUUAACUAGAUAAUUCAUGGUGGAGCCAUAUGGACAUGAACAGCAAGUUAGUGCAGUCAAAGAGUCUAAGAAGUAGAGGAGAGCAGCAACUUGCACCAACUAGGCCGCCGGACUGUGAAGAAUAUUGAAGGACGUUGACUCAAGAAUUUGGUCUCAACAUCUUACACAAGGGUCACAGGUAUGCUGGAGCCUCUCCCAGCUGUCCUGGGGGAGAGGCGGGGUCCACCCAGGACUGGUGGCCAGCCAAUCCCAGGACACAUAGACCAACAGCCAUUCCCACCCACAUUCAUACCUACAUGGACAAUUUGGAGUGGCCAGUGAAGCUAGUAUGUUUUUGGUAUCGGGGGGGGGGGGCCACGCACGCACAGGGAGAACAUGCAAACUACAGACAGAGAUGCAGUGGUGAAUCGAACCCAGGUACCUCAACAUAUUUCACAGGUACGUCAACAUGAGAUGGAGCUGUUGAGAGGGUCAUCAGAAGUAAACAAUGAGGAGUUGACAUACUGCUGACAAUGUUUGAUUGUUUAUAUUUCAUAUUGUUGUUGCCAUUUGACUAACCAGCAUGCCUUGCAGGCAUUUGGAAAUGUUCUGUAUGCGUGUUUAAAGAUUUCACUGUUAUAUGUAAAAAUUACAAUUGGGAACGCCGCCUCGUGGCUCCAGGCCUGUCGGAUACACUUUUAAACUUUAUUGUGUCUUUCACUUGUCAUUAUUUGCAUAGUUAUGAAUGUAAAAAACAUCUACAAUGAUUUAUAAUGUUUUGUAUGGUAUUUCUAACCACUGCUGGGAAAUGCAGUAAAGGUGUUCUGGUCUGAAAGAAUGUUUUCAUUUCAUAUUUGUAGAUGUGUUCAAAACAAGAACGCCAAGCAGUGGAAUGACUUCCUACAAUGGCGUCUCUGGGGUAACACUAGUGGUGUGUCGGUCAUGAACGAACGGGUCAAAAGAACUCGUUCUUUUUUUUGGGAAGGGAAUGAACGAGUCCUGGCGAUAAACCUGAACCUCCCUGGUUGAUCUCUUGUGCUAGCGAGAAUUCAACAAAUAAUGAUGUUAACUUAGUCAAGAUAUAGCAUGGGUUCUAAACACGUUGUGGAAUGCCCUGCCUGUUAAUAUUAGAGCUGCUACCUCAGUAGAAAUGUUGAAGUCCCAGCUUCAGUCUUACUUCUACACUUUAGCAUUUAGCUAGAAAUAUUCCCUGUCGCGCCUUCUCUCUCU